This 870-nucleotide ribosomal RNA is filed under the name Burkholderia sp. AaM271. RNAcentral describes it as "bacterial SSU rRNA". It matches the Rfam family "Bacterial small subunit ribosomal RNA", at positions 48 to 917 of the family's 1533-position model. The record is from RNAcentral. Lineage: Bacteria; Pseudomonadati; Pseudomonadota; Betaproteobacteria; Burkholderiales; Burkholderiaceae.
CUUACACAUGCAAGUCGAACGGCAGCACGGGGGCAACCCUGGUGGCGAGUGGCGAACGGGUGAGUAAUACAUCGGAACGUGUCCUGUAGUGGGGGAUAGCCCGGCGAAAGCCGGAUUAAUACCGCAUACGCUCUACGGAGGAAAGGGGGGGAUCUUAGGACCUCCCGCUACAGGGGCGGCCGAUGGCAGAUUAGCUAGUUGGUGGGGUAAAGGCCUACCAAGGCGACGAUCUGUAGCUGGUCUGAGAGGACGACCAGCCACACUGGGACUGAGACACGGCCCAGACUCCUACGGGAGGCAGCAGUGGGGAAUUUUGGACAAUGGGGGCAACCCUGAUCCAGCAAUGCCGCGUGUGUGAAGAAGGCCUUCGGGUUGUAAAGCACUUUUGUCCGGAAAGAAAACGCCGUGGUUAAUACCCGUGGCGGAUGACGGUACCGGAAGAAUAAGCACCGGCUAACUACGUGCCAGCAGCCGCGGUAAUACGUAGGGUGCAAGCGUUAAUCGGAAUUACUGGGCGUAAAGCGUGCGCAGGCGGUCCGCUAAGACAGAUGUGAAAUCCCCGGGCUUAACCUGGGAACUGCAUUUGUGACUGGCGGGCUAGAGUAUGGCAGAGGGGGGUAGAAUUCCACGUGUAGCAGUGAAAUGCGUAGAGAUGUGGAGGAAUACCGAUGGCGAAGGCAGCCCCCUGGGCCAAUACUGACGCUCAUGCACGAAAGCGUGGGGAGCAAACAAGAUUAGAUACCCUGGUAGUCCACGCCCUAACGAUGUCAACUAGUUGUCGGGUCUUCAUUGACUUGGUACGUACUACCCGGUGAAGUUGACCGCCUGGGGAGUACGGUCGCAAAAUUAAACCUCAAAGGAAUUGACGGG